RNAcentral lists this small nuclear RNA (320 nucleotides) under Callithrix jacchus (white-tufted-ear marmoset). Its description in RNAcentral is "7SK RNA". It matches the Rfam family "7SK RNA". Rfam says of the family: 7SK was discovered as an abundant small nuclear RNA in the mid-70s but a possible function has only recently been suggested. Two independent studies have found that 7SK RNA binds the CDK9/cyclin T complex (known as elongation factor P-TEFb). P-TEFb activates transcription by phosphorylating the C-terminal domain of RNA polymerase II. The record is from Rfam by way of RNAcentral. Lineage: Eukaryota; Metazoa; Chordata; Mammalia; Primates; Cebidae.
UGAUGUGAGGGUGAUCUGGCUGCAACAUCUGUCACCCCAUUGAUUGCCAGGAUUGAUUUGGCUGAUCUGGUUGGCUAGGUGGGUGUCCCCUUCCUCCCUCACCACUCCAUAUGCAUCCCUCCCGAAGUUGCUCACUCGGUUGAAGAGGAUAGCCAUCCCUGAUAGAGGAGGACCAGUCUUCAGUCAGUGGUAUAUGAGUAGCUGCACUCCCCGUCUAGAACCUCCAAACAAGCUCUUAAGGUCCAUCCUCCAACCUUUUUUAUAAGGAAAUAGGAUCUUAGACAUUAACAUAACUGCCAUAGGUCACCUGUGGUAAGUAU